This 468-nucleotide ribosomal RNA is filed under the name uncultured bacterium. Its description in RNAcentral is "partial 16S ribosomal RNA". It matches the Rfam family "Bacterial small subunit ribosomal RNA", at positions 28 to 507 of the family's 1533-position model. The record is from RNAcentral.
GACGAACGCUGGCGGCGUGCUUAACACAUGCAAGUCGAACGGAAAGGCCCUGCUUUUGUGGGGUGCUCGAGUGGCGAACGGGUGAGUAACACGUGAGUAACCUGCCCUUGACUUUGGGAUAACUUCAGGAAACUGGGACUAAUACCGGAUAGGAGCUCCUGCUGCAUGGUGGGGGUUGGAAAGUUUCGGCGGUUGGGGAUGGACUCGCGGCUUAUCAGCUUGUUGGUGGGGUAGUGGCUUACCAAGGCUUUGACGGGUAGCCGGCCUGAGAGGGUGACCGGCCACAUUGGGACUGAGAUACGGCCCAGACUCCUACGGGAGGCAGCAGUGGGGAAUAUUGCACAAUGGGCGGAAGUCUGAUGCAGCAACGCCGCGUGCGGGAUGACGGCCUUCGGGUUGUAAACCGCUUUCGCCUGUGACGAAGCGUGAGUGACGGUAAUGGGUAAAGAAGCACCGGCUAACUACGUG